RNAcentral lists this long non-coding RNA (226 nucleotides) under Elaeis guineensis (African oil palm). RNAcentral's name for it is "long non-coding RNA (EGUI_LNC004587)". The record is from RNAcentral. Lineage: Eukaryota; Viridiplantae; Streptophyta; Magnoliopsida; Arecales; Arecaceae.
CAAUACCAGCUACUAUCUCUAACGAUCAUCAUCUUAGACCAACUAGACCUGAUUUUCGCUCCAACUCGAGAUAUCACAUCCAUGGUGCCUGCCACUACCUCCAGAGAUUUCUUUUGACCCCACAGAUGAAAAUUAUAGAGUUGGAAUCGGAUCACAUAUGGAUCAAUAUUGAUAUACUCGUAUCCAUAUUUAUCUUACUUGAUGAAUAUAAAUAUAGAUAGCAAUG